UACGUAGGGGGCAAGCGUUGUCCGGAUUUAUUGGGCGUAAAGAGCGUGUAGGCGGCUUUACAGGUCCGUUGUGAAAACUCGAGGCUCAACCUCGAGACGCCGGUGGAAACCGUAAAGCUAGAGUCCGGAAGAGGAGAGUGGAAUUCCUGGUGUAGCGGUGAAAUGCGCAGAUAUCGGGAAGAACACCCGUGGCGAAGGCGGCUCUCUGGGACGGUACUGACGCUGAGACGCGAAAGCGUGGGGAGCGAACAGG
RNAcentral lists this ribosomal RNA (253 nucleotides) under uncultured bacterium. RNAcentral describes it as "partial 16S ribosomal RNA". It matches the Rfam family "Bacterial small subunit ribosomal RNA", at positions 524 to 776 of the family's 1533-position model. The record is from RNAcentral.